This 424-nucleotide ribosomal RNA is filed under the name uncultured bacterium. RNAcentral's name for it is "bacterial SSU rRNA". It matches the Rfam family "Bacterial small subunit ribosomal RNA", at positions 9 to 430 of the family's 1533-position model. The record is from RNAcentral.
GAGUUUGAUCUUGGCUCAGGACGAACGCUGGCGGCGCGCUUAACACAUGCAAGUCGAGCGAGAACCAGGGCUUCGGCUCUGGGGAAAGCGGCGAACGGGUGAGUAACACGUGAGUCAUCCACCCUCGGUACCGGGAUAGCCCGGGGAAACCCGGAUUAAUACCGGAUGGCCCAACAGCUCUUCGGGGCGGUUGGAAAAGGUAGCUUUGGCCUCCGACCGAGGACGAGCUCGCGGCGGAUUAGCUUGUUGGCGGGGUAACGGCCCACCAAGGCGACGAUCCGUAGCUGGUCUGAGAGGACGAUCAGCCACACUGGGACUGAGACACGGCCCAGACUCCUACGGGAGGCAGCAGUGGGGAAUCUUGCGCAAUGGGCGAAAGCCUGACGCAGCGACGCCGCGUGCGGAAGAAGGCCUCGGUGUAACG